UCCCUGGUGGUUUAGAUGGUAAUGAAUCUGCCUCCAAUGCAGAAGACCCGGGUUCAAUCCCUGGAUGGGGAA
This 72-nucleotide transfer RNA is filed under the name Bos taurus (domestic cattle). It matches the Rfam family "tRNA". From Rfam's summary of the family: Transfer RNA (tRNA) molecules are approximately 80 nucleotides in length. Their secondary structure includes four short double-helical elements and three loops (D, anti-codon, and T loops). Lineage: Eukaryota; Metazoa; Chordata; Mammalia; Artiodactyla; Bovidae. RNAcentral also lists the same sequence under 3 other names. The record is from Rfam by way of RNAcentral.